ACCUGACAGCUCUUUACAUUUGCUGUUCGCCCGGGAACUACGAGCGCAAGCUUAAAACCCAAAGGACUUGACGGUGCUUUAUACCCCCCUAGAGGAGCCUGUCCUAGAACCGAUAAUCCCCGUUAAACCUCACCUUUUCUUGCUCAUUCCGCCUAUAUACCGCCGUCUCCAGUCUACCCUGUAAAGGGCCCAUAGUAGGCGAAAUUGGUACAGCCCCAGACGACAGGUCGAGGUGUAGCGUAUGAAAAGGGAAGAGAUGGGCUACAUUCAGUGAAACACUGAAUACGGAAAGCUAAUUGAAACAUUAACUUGAAGGAGGAUUUAGCAGUAAGUGCGG
RNAcentral lists this ribosomal RNA (337 nucleotides) under Scarus guacamaia (rainbow parrotfish). Its description in RNAcentral is "partial 12S ribosomal RNA". It matches the Rfam family "Bacterial small subunit ribosomal RNA", at positions 801 to 1347 of the family's 1533-position model. The record is from RNAcentral. Lineage: Eukaryota; Metazoa; Chordata; Actinopteri; Labriformes; Labridae.